Molecule: ribosomal RNA, 253 nt
Filed under: uncultured prokaryote
Description: partial 16S ribosomal RNA
Rfam family: Bacterial small subunit ribosomal RNA
Source: RNAcentral
UACGGGGGGCGCAAGCGUUGCUCGGAAUCACUGGGCGUAAAGCGUCCGCAGGCGGCCAGGUCAGUCGGGUGUGAAAGCCCGGAGCUCAACUCCGGAACUGCAUUCGAUACUGCCCGGCUCGAGUACGGGAGAGGAUGGCGGAAUUCCUGGUGUAGAGGUGAAAUUCGUAGAUAUCAGGAGGAACACCGGUGGCGAAAGCGGCCAUCUGGCCCGAUACUGACGCUCAUGGACGAAAGCGCGGGGAGCAAACAGG